GAUGAACGCUGGCGGCGUGCCUAAUACAUGCAAGUCGAGCGAACAGACGAGGAGCUUGCUCCUCUGACGUUAGCGGCGGACGGGUGAGUAACACGUGGAUAACCUACCUAUAAGACUGGGAUAACUUCGGGAAACCGGAGCUAAUACCGGAUAAUCUAUUGAACCGCAUGGUUCAAUAGUGAAAGACGGUUUUGCUGUCACUUAUAGAUGGAUCCGCGCCGCAUUAGCUAGUUGGUAAGGUAACGGCUUACCAAGGCGACGAUGCGUAGCCGACCUGAGAGGGGGAUCGGCCACACUGGAACUGAGACACGGUCCAGACUCCUACGGGAGGCAGCAGUAGGGAAUCUUCCGCAAUGGGCGAAAGCCUGACGGAGCAACGCCGCGUGAGUGAUGAAGGUCUUCGGAUCGUAAAACUCUGUUAUUAGGGAAGAACAAAUGUGUAAGUAACUAUGCACGUCUUGACGGUACCUAAUCAGAAAGCCACGGCUAACUACGUG
RNAcentral lists this ribosomal RNA (497 nucleotides) under uncultured bacterium. Its description in RNAcentral is "partial 16S ribosomal RNA". It matches the Rfam family "Bacterial small subunit ribosomal RNA", at positions 28 to 507 of the family's 1533-position model. The record is from RNAcentral.